Non-coding RNA from Ictidomys tridecemlineatus (thirteen-lined ground squirrel), 71 nucleotides. The record is from Rfam. NCBI's taxonomy places the organism in Eukaryota, Metazoa, Chordata, Mammalia, Rodentia, Sciuridae.
GUGGCUGUGGCUCAGUGGGUGAGCGCUCGCCUCAUGUGCGUGAGGCACUGGAUUCAAUCCUCAGCACCACA